UCUGUGGAUACAACCUGCAAAAUAACUAUUUUUGUUGGUGUACAGGAUAUUGUCUCUAAUCUCUACCUAUUGCAUGUUGAAUUUGCAGGUAAAAGAAACUCACAAUUAGUGUUGCUUUCUAAUUGGACAGGCUGAUUUCACUGAAGGAUGAUUGACUUAGACUUGAUGUUCCUUUAUUUUGGGGGUGGGCAGUGUGUAUGUGUGAGUGCUUUUGCAAAAUAGCCAUAAUCUAUGGCUUUGUGCGCUAGUUGAGUGUCUGCUUGUAUUAUUAUACACUUUUGCUUGAUCGCUAUGCAUUUUCAGUGUUCUUUCUUCGACCUUGCCAUGGUCAUUCAGGGUAACUGGUGAUCAUUUAUUUAUUUAUUUUUACUAUUUGUCUACCAUCUUCCAGACAACUGCACCAACUGAGAGUAGGUCCCUGGUUCUACGUGGACUGCCAGUCAUCCUGGGCGAUGAUCCUGGGGCGUUUUUUAAGACCAGCUUCGAUGCCACUGACGAAGUAGCUGAAACGUCAGUGGGAAUUGUGUCCCUGGAUAGCAGAUUUGACGUUCCUCACCAUCUUCAGCCACAACCUCCACUAUCCUCGGCAGUGGGCAUCAUUUUGGAAGGGACUGUGGUUAUGAAUGACCUUGAAAAUCUGCCUCAAGCAUUUUAUCUCCUCUUUGGUCUCAUCUAUGCCCCGCAUCUGGAUUAUCCCAGUCUGUCUCUCUUUCGAGUUCCAUAUAGGUCCUGAGACACCAGUGAUGAUAGCCUCUUCUGCUUCUUGGACCUGCCUGAUCCAUCCUGAUGCAUUAUGUCUGGCUGGAGUCUCAUCACAUUACUCCUGUGGAAGAUGGUCUCAAAUGGACAGUUGGAAGUCUCCCUUGGAAGAUGGCUCUGGACACUUACAGUUUUGCUAUUAGGGCUGAGGACUACAAUUGACAUGAUGACUUUAGGACUACAAUUGGCAUGAACUGUUUUGCACUCAAGUUUCCAUCAAUGAACAGUUGAUAACUUCAGCAAAACAGACUUUAUGCUAAAACUAUAAUGAAUUUCCUGGUUACACAGCUAUACUUUGUGACUAGGACACAGUUCUAGAAGCAAGUUAUUUGAAAUCAUGCUAUAUCUUAUCACCCAAAUGAGGAAGGGUUCCCUUUUGAGUCUAGUUCCUCUCAAGGUUCCUCAUGUCAUCUGAGGGAGUUUUUCCUUGCCACCAUCUCCACAAGCUUGCUUAUCAGGAAUAAAUUAGGGAUAAAAUUAGCUCAUGUUUAGUCUUCAAUUUUCUGUAAAGCUGCAUUGCAACAAUAUUUGUUGUUAAAAAAGCUAUACAAAUAAACUUGACUUGAAACCUCCUGGUAAACGGCUGCCUUUCCUGAAGACAUCUAUGCAUGGUGACUCUUGAUGGACUGACACCAGCCUUAGCCCACUCUUUGUGAAGCUCUCUCAAGUUCUUGAAUUGAAUUUUCUUGACAAUCCUCUCAUGGCUGUGGUCAUCGCUUGUGCACCUUUUUCAGCCAGCCUUUUCAUCAAUGACCUUUUGUGGCUUACCCUCCUUGUGGAAGGUGUUGAUGAUCGUCUUCUGGACAACUGUCAAGUCAGCAGUCUUCUCCAUGAUUGAAGCUGUGU
Molecule: long non-coding RNA, 1605 nt
Organism: Neoarius graeffei (lesser salmon catfish)
Lineage: Eukaryota; Metazoa; Chordata; Actinopteri; Siluriformes; Ariidae
Exons: 3
Source: RefSeq, a predicted model, not a curated record